This 698-nucleotide long non-coding RNA is filed under the name Pan troglodytes (chimpanzee). RNAcentral's name for it is "long non-coding RNA NONPTRT005322". Lineage: Eukaryota; Metazoa; Chordata; Mammalia; Primates; Hominidae. The record is from RNAcentral.
GCUGAGGGCGCUGCUGUCGUUGGUGUUCUGUACCGCGCCUGCCCGACGCUCACGGCUCCGGGGGCCCAUGGCCAGAAGAGACUCAGGAAUGGCAGUCUGUCACGGUUGUGAGCCGCCCCUUGGUUAGCACACACCUCACGGACCUCGGUAGGGGGAAACAACCACCCAUGCUCCUGGACUUCCCCUUCCGCCGGCGCUUGUGCGUCACUUCCGGGAAGAGCGCAUCUCGCCAACCAGAAUUGAGGAGGGUGUAGCCAGUGCUAAGUUCGCUUGCGGCUGACCUUUCUUUUGAAUGUCGUGAGUUCCAUUUGUCCCAGAAUACGGUCCGCUACCGCUGUGACAUGAGUGUUAGGGAAGGCGGGUUGUCACGUUUCUACAAGCCUUCCAGUCAAAAGGGAAACCUUGCCUAAGUCCUUGUAGUUGAGAAAUCUCUAAGAGGUGGAAGCAAAUACUGCACAUGCGUGUUGGUCCUGUGAGGGAAACCAGCUAGUGGAGAGGGAGAGGUUGAAGGAACAGAAAAAUGAGAAGAUAACUCACUGGAGGCUGAAGUGGGAGGAUCGCUUGAGUCUGGAAGCUUGAGACUGCAGCAAGCUGUGAUCGUGACACUGCACUCCAGCCUGGGCAACAAAGUAAGAUCCUGUCUCAAAAGAAAAAAAAAAAAGGUAUGUUUUUCCAUUUUAAUUAAAUCAUUUAUGUUU